UCCCUUGCCUCAUCUUAUAUGACUAAGACAACGCAUAGAAAUCAUUAUUAUAAUAAAUAGACAUAGGCAUUAGACAUGAACAUGAAUCCAGCAAAUUCAAGUCACAAACAGGACAAAAUACAAGGCAUGUUUAAAGGUUCGUAAGAUCACCUAGACAAUAUACAAAAAUGUGAAACUUGCACAUGACAUAAGGUUGAAUGCGAAAAAGGUUUGGGUAAAUAUUUAACCCUAAAUUAGAAUGCAAAGAAGUCACACAAGUCAUUAACAUUGCAAAGUGACUUGGAACUAUGAAUGUCAUGCUUGACAAAUUUCAAUUGCAAUUAGCCACAGAAAAGACAGCAUUUUUUCAGAUUCAGCAUGCAUAUUUUAAAAAAAAAAAAUUCAAGAGCAAAGAUGUAUCAAUUGGCUAAAACAAUCUACACAAGAAUAGAGUAGCAAUUAUAGCAUACUGAUAUUCACAAAUGGAGUGUAUCAUGAAAAGACAUACAACUUCAAGAAAGCCAAAAGGAGCUUGGAAUUCAGAAAUAAGAAAAGACAGCAAGCGAAGAAAAACUGACACUAAAGAACAACAUAACUCUGGACAUCUUUACAAACAAAAACACAGAGCUUGGAUCGGUAGAAUACAAAUAAGCUACUGGGUAAAGUGAUUAGUGUUAGAAAUUGGAUUGAUGGUGGAUAUCUAAUAUCAAUUAUCAAACACCAGAACUUUGCUAUAAAAAAAAAAGAGAACAAUAGAGCAAGAACAUUCCACACGUGAUAUACUUUUUUUGUAUCAUCAAUCUCAAAAUCUAUGCUUAAAAGAUCAUAGGAAAGUGGCAGACAAUCAAGCCCACGCAAAAACAGAAUAUGCAUUUCUAACCAAGGCAAAAUUCCAGAUUUCAGAAUGGAUUAGAAAAAAAAUGUUAAACAUGGCAAAUGAUGGUUGAUUCAGGCAUGCAAUAUGUCAUUUUAAAGCUUGAGAUGCCUAUUACAAUUAUCUAGAAGACAUUAAGUCCUAAUAACAUC
RNAcentral lists this long non-coding RNA (1005 nucleotides) under Eucalyptus grandis. RNAcentral's name for it is "long non-coding RNA (EGRA_LNC005747)". The record is from RNAcentral. Lineage: Eukaryota; Viridiplantae; Streptophyta; Magnoliopsida; Myrtales; Myrtaceae.